Molecule: ribosomal RNA, 397 nt
Filed under: uncultured bacterium
Lineage: Bacteria
Description: partial 16S ribosomal RNA
Rfam family: Bacterial small subunit ribosomal RNA
Source: RNAcentral
AUACGUAGGUGGCAAGCGUUGUCCGGAAUUAUUGGGCGUAAAGCGCGCGCAGGUGGUUCCUUAAGUCUGUUGUGAAAGCCCCCGGCUCAACCGGGGAGGGUCAUUGGAAACUGGGGAACUUGAGUGCAGAAGAGGAUAGUGGAAUUCCAAGUGUAGCGGUGAAAUGCGUAGAGAAUUGGAGGAACACCAGUGGGGAAGGCGACUUGCGGGUCUGUAACUGACACUGAGGCGCGAAAGCGUGGGGAGCAAACAGGAUUAGAGACCCUGGUAGUCCACGCCGUAAACGAGGAGUGCUAAGUGUUGGGGGGUUUCCGCCCCUCAGUGCUGCAGCUAACGCAUUAAGCACUCCGCCUGGGGAGUACGGUCGCAAGACUGAAACUUAAAGGAAUUGACGGGG